CCUACGGGAGGCAGCAGUGGGGAAUAUUGGGCAAUGGGCGCAAGCCUGACCCAGCAACGCCGCGUGAAGGAAGAAGGCUUUCGGGUUGUAAACUUCUUUUAAGAGGGAAGAGCAGAAGACGGUACCUCUUGAAUAAGCCACGGCUAACUACGUGCCAGCAGCCGCGGUAAUACGUAGGUGGCAAGCGUUGUCCGGAUUUACUGGGUGUAAAGGGCGUGUAGCCGGGUUGACAAGUCAGAUGUGAAAUCCUGCGGCUUAACCGCAGAACUGCAUUUGAAACUGUUGAUCUUGAGUACUGGAGAGGCAGACGGAAUUCCUAGUGUAGCGGUGAAAUGCGUAGAUAUUAGGAGGAACACCAGUGGCGAAGGCGGUCUGCUGGACAGCAACUGACAUUGAUGCUCGAAAGUGUGGGUAUCAAACAGGAUUAGAUACCCUGGUAGUC
Molecule: ribosomal RNA, 442 nt
Filed under: uncultured bacterium
Lineage: Bacteria
Description: partial 16S ribosomal RNA
Rfam family: Bacterial small subunit ribosomal RNA
Source: RNAcentral